Molecule: ribosomal RNA, 484 nt
Filed under: uncultured bacterium
Lineage: Bacteria
Description: partial 16S ribosomal RNA
Rfam family: Bacterial small subunit ribosomal RNA
Source: RNAcentral
AUUGAACGCUGGCGGCAUGCUUUACACAUGCAAGUCGAACGGCAGCGCGGGCUUCGGCCUGGCGGCGAGUGGCGAACGGGUGAGUAAUGCAUCGGAACGUGCCCAGUAGUGGGGGAUAGCCCGGCGAAAGCCGGAUUAAUACCGCAUACGACCUGAGGGUGAAAGCGGGGGACCGAAAGGCCUCGCGCUAUUGGAGCGGCCGAUGUCGGAUUAGCUAGUUGGUGGGGUAAAGGCUUACCAAGGCGACGAUCCGUAGCUGGUGUGAGAGGAGGACCAGCCACAGUGGAAAUGAGACACGGGCCAGACGCCGCAGGGAGGCACCAGUGGGGGAGAGGGGACAAUGGGGGCAAGUCUUAUACAGCGAUACCGCGUGGGGGAAGAAGGCCUGCGGGUUGGAAAGAGGGUUUGUGGGGAAAGAAAAGCAGCAGGCGAAUAACACGGUGAGCGGACGGUACACAAAGAAUAAGCACCGGCUAACUUCGUG